GAGUUUGAUCGUGGCUCAGGAUGAACGCUGGCGGCAUGCCUAAUACAUGCAAGUCGAACGAGAGGAAGGAAAGCUUGCUUUCCUGAAUCUAGUGGCGAACGGGUGAGUAACACGUAGGUAACCUGCCCAUGUGCCCGGGAUAACUUCUGGAAACGGAUGCUAAAACCGGAUAGGUAGCAGACAAGCAUUUGACUGCUAUUAAAGUGGCCUUGGCCAUGAACAUGGAUGGACCUGCGGUGCAUUAGCUGGUUGGUGAGGUAACGGCCCACCAAGGCGACGAUGCAUAGCCGGCCUGAGAGGGCGGACGGCCACAUUGGGACUGAGACACGGCCCAAACUCCUACGGGAGGCAGCAGUAGGGAAUUUUCGUCAAUGGGGGGAACCCUGAACGAGCAAUGCCGCGUGAGUGAGGAAGGUCUUCGGAUCGUAAAGCUCUAUCAGCAGGGAAGAAAAUGACGGUACCUGACUAAGAAGCCCCGG
This 479-nucleotide ribosomal RNA is filed under the name uncultured bacterium. RNAcentral describes it as "bacterial SSU rRNA". It matches the Rfam family "Bacterial small subunit ribosomal RNA", at positions 9 to 496 of the family's 1533-position model. The record is from RNAcentral.